Molecule: ribosomal RNA, 244 nt
Filed under: uncultured bacterium
Lineage: Bacteria
Description: partial 16S ribosomal RNA
Rfam family: Bacterial small subunit ribosomal RNA
Source: RNAcentral
GAGGAUGCGAGCGUUAUCCGGAUUUAUUGGGUUUAAAGGGUGCGUAGGCGGCGGCUUAAGUCAGCGGUCAAAGCCCGGGGCUCAACCCCGGCGAGCCGUUGAAACUGGGUUGCUUGAGUUGGCGAGAAGUACGCGGAAUGCGCGGUGUAGCGGUGAAAUGCAUAGAUAUCGCGCAGAACUCCGAUUGCGAAGGCAGCGUACCGGCGCCACACUGACGCUGAGGCACGAAAGCGUGGGGAUCGAA